AACGUAAUAGCUCAGCUGGAUAGAGUAUCCCGAUUUUUAAUCGGGACGGUCGAAGGUUCGAAUCCUUCUGCGUUC
Molecule: transfer RNA, 75 nt
Filed under: Flavobacterium araucananum
Lineage: Bacteria; Pseudomonadati; Bacteroidota; Flavobacteriia; Flavobacteriales; Flavobacteriaceae
Description: tRNA-Lys
Rfam family: tRNA
About the family: Transfer RNA (tRNA) molecules are approximately 80 nucleotides in length.
Source: RNAcentral